GACGAACGCUGGCGGCGUGCCUAAUACAUGCAAGUUGAGCGCUGAAGGUUGGUACUUGUACCAACUGGAUGAGCAGCGAACGGGUGAGUAACGCGUGGGGAAUCUGCCUUUGAGCGGGGGACAACAUUUGGAAACGAAUGCUAAUACCGCAUAAAAACUUUAAACACAAGUUUUAAGUUUGAAAGAUGCAAUUGCAUCACUCAAAGAUGAUCCCGCGUUGUAUUAGCUAGUUGGUGAGGUAAAGGCUCACCAAGGCGAUGAUACAUAGCCGACCUGAGAGGGUGAUCGGCCACAUUGGGACUGAGACACGGCCCAAACUGCUAAGGGAGGGAGCAGUAGGGAAUCUUCGGCAAUGGACGAAAGUCUGAACGAGCAACGCCGCGUGAGUGAAGAAGGGUUUCGGAUCGUAAAACUCUGUUGGUAGAGAAGAAAGUUGGUGAGAGUGGAAAGCUCAUCAAGUGACGGUAACUACACAGAAAGGGACGGCUAACUACGUG
Molecule: ribosomal RNA, 497 nt
Filed under: uncultured bacterium
Lineage: Bacteria
Description: partial 16S ribosomal RNA
Rfam family: Bacterial small subunit ribosomal RNA
Source: RNAcentral